UGCAAGUCGAACGCUUUGUGCUUAAUUGAUAUGACGAGCUUGCUCUGAUUUGAUUUUUUGAUUUCAAAGAGUGGCGAACGGGUGAGUAACACGUGGGUAACCUACCUCUUAGCAGGGGAUAACAUUUGGAAACAAGUGCUAAUACCGUAUAAUACCAACAACCGCAUGGUUGUUGGUUGAAAGAUGGUUCUGCUAUCACUAAGAGAUGGACCCGCGGUGCAUUAGCUAGUUGGUAAGGUAAUGGCUUACCAAGGCAAUGAUGCAUAGCCGAGUUGAGAGACUGAUCGGCCACAAUGGGACUGAGACACGGCCCAUACUCCUACGGGAGGCAGCAGUAGGGAAUCUUCCACAAUGGGCGCAAGCCUGAUGGAGCAACGCCGCGUGUGUGAUGAAGGGUUUCGGCUCGUAAAACACUGUUAUAAGAGAAGAACGGCACUGAGAGUAACUGUUCAGUGUGUGACGGUAUCUUACCAGAAAGGAACGGCUAAAUACGUGCCAGCAGCCGCGGUAAUACGUAUGUUCCAAGCGUUAUCCGGAUUUAUUGGGCGUAAAGCGAGCGCAGACGGUUAUUUAAGUCUGAAGUGAAAGCCCUCAGCUCAACUGAGGAAUUGCUUUGGAAACUGGAUGACUUGAGUGCAGUAGAGGAAAGUGGAACUCCAUGUGUAGCGGUGAAAUGCGUAGAUAUAUGGAAGAACACCAGUGGCGAAGGCGGCUUU
RNAcentral lists this ribosomal RNA (716 nucleotides) under Weissella hellenica. Its description in RNAcentral is "bacterial SSU rRNA". It matches the Rfam family "Bacterial small subunit ribosomal RNA", at positions 56 to 728 of the family's 1533-position model. Lineage: Bacteria; Bacillati; Bacillota; Bacilli; Lactobacillales; Lactobacillaceae. The record is from RNAcentral.